Carlito syrichta (Philippine tarsier) is the source of this 81-nucleotide small nucleolar RNA. Its record names the gene SNORD115. It matches the Rfam family "Small nucleolar RNA SNORD115". Rfam says of the family: HBII-52 is a member of the C/D class of snoRNAs, which contain the C (UGAUGA) and D (CUGA) box motifs. HBII-52 is encoded in a tandemly repeated array with another C/D snoRNA, HBII-85, in the Prader-Willi syndrome (PWS) region of chromosome 15. Lineage: Eukaryota; Metazoa; Chordata; Mammalia; Primates; Tarsiidae. The record is from Ensembl.
GGGUCAAUGAUGAAAUCUUUGUCUUGACUCAAGUGAGGUGUUGUCUUAAAAGUCUUGUGCAAUAGAAUUAUGGUGAGGACC